GGUAAAGCCAUCCGGCUAUACUUUUUUAAAAAAGAGUACCCCCGCCAUUAUGCGCCACGUGUCACACAACUGUCCUUUGAAAAAAAAUUUGAAAAUGGAGUACGGCCGGGCGGCUGUACUCCUUUUUAAAAAAUAAAAUAAAAUAAAGAAGAACCUCUAACUAUUAAUGCCACGCCUCAAAAUAUAAGUACAGCCGCCCGGCUAUACUAUUUCUUAAUUAAAAAUCGAAGUACAGCCGCCCGGCUAUACGUUUCAAAAAAAACUGGGUAAAGCCGUGCGGCUAUACUUUUUGAAUACAACCCUAGCCUUUAAGCGCCACGUGUCACACACAUGUAUUUUGAAAUUUUUUUUUGAAAAUAAAGUAUAACCGGGCGGCUGUACGCCUUUUUUAAUAAAAUAAAAUGAAGAAGAACCUCUAACUUUUAAUGCCACAUGUCAAAAAAUACGUAUAGCCGCGGCUGUACGCCUUUUUUAAUAAAAUAAAAUGAAGAAGAACCUCUAACUUUUAAUGCCACAUGUCAAAAAAUACGUAUAGCCGAGCGGCUAUACGUUUCCAAAAAAAAAGUAAAACUGGGUAAAGCUGUGCGGCGGUACUUUUUUAAUACAAAAAAGAGUCCCCCCCCAGCCGUUCUGCGCCACGUGUCACACAACUGUCUUUUGGAAAAAAAUUUGAAAAGGGAGUAUAGCCGGUCGGCUGUACUCCUUUUUAAAAAAUAAAAUAAAAUAAUGAAGAACCUCUAACUUUUAAUGCCACACGUCAAAAUAUAAGUAUAGCCGCGCAGCUAUACGUUUCCAAAAAAAAGAGUAAAACUGGGUAAAGCCAUACGGCCGUACUCUUUUAAUACAAAAAAGAGUCCCCCCCCAGCCAUUAUGUGC
This 876-nucleotide long non-coding RNA is filed under the name Prunus persica (peach). RNAcentral describes it as "long non-coding RNA (PPER_LNC000236)". Lineage: Eukaryota; Viridiplantae; Streptophyta; Magnoliopsida; Rosales; Rosaceae. The record is from RNAcentral.